CUGCUGCCUCCCGUAGGAGUUUGGGCCGUGUCUCAGUCCCAAUGUGGCCGGUCACCCUCUCAGGUCGGCUACUGAUCGUCGCUUUGGUGGGCCGUUACCCCGCCAACUGGCUAAUCAGACGCGGGCCCAUCCCAUACCACCGGAGUUUUUCACACCGAGCCAUGCGGCCCUGUGCGCUUAUGCGGUGUUAGCAGUCAUUUCUAACUGUUAUCCCCCUGUAUGGGGCAGGUUGCCCACGCGUUACUCACCCGUCCGCCA
This 258-nucleotide ribosomal RNA is filed under the name uncultured bacterium. RNAcentral's name for it is "partial 16S ribosomal RNA". The record is from RNAcentral.